UACGGGGGGUGCGAGCGUUGUCCGGAAUCACUGGGCGUAAAGGGCGCGUAGGUGGUUUGAUAAGGGUGUGGUGAAAGUCCGGGGCUCAACCCCGGAUCUGCCGUGCCGACUGUCAAACUCGAGGGCUGUAGAGGCAGGCGGAAUUCCGGGUGUAGCGGUGGAAUGCGUAGAGAUCCGGAGGAACACCAGUGGCGAAGGCGACACGCUGGGCCGUACCUGACACUGAUGCGCGACAGCAUGGGGAGCAAACAGG
This 253-nucleotide ribosomal RNA is filed under the name uncultured bacterium. RNAcentral describes it as "partial 16S ribosomal RNA". It matches the Rfam family "Bacterial small subunit ribosomal RNA", at positions 524 to 776 of the family's 1533-position model. The record is from RNAcentral.